AUGGGUCCUGCACACAGUAGAAACAGGCUAUGCUAUUCAAUUCGGCCGCCCACCGCCGACAUUCAAUGGGGUUACACCGACAGUCGUCGGCCCCCAGCAGGCUCUGGUUAUGGAACAAGAAGUGAAUACCCUAUUAAGGAAGGAGGCCAUCGAGGUGGUCCCUCCUCUAGACAGGGAAUCCGGGUUCAAAGCUUAUCAAUAUCGAGUACUUCCAUUCGGCUUUGCACUCUCACCCCGCACGUUCACGAAAUGUGUAGAUGCGGCUCUGGUACCCCUCCGUAUGCAGGGCAUCCGCAUUCUAAAUUAUAUCAACGAUUGGUUGAUUCUAGCUCAAUCAGAGCAGAUGGCGGUUCGACAUCGAGGUGUCGUUCUCGCCCAUAUGGGGGAGCUGGGUUUGAGACUGAAUGCCAAGAAGAGUGUACUUUCUCCAGAUCAGAGAACCACCUAUCUAGGCGUAGUAUGGGAUUCGACCACGAUGCAGGCACGUAUGUCUCCUGCUCGAAUCGAGUCGAUCCUCACAUCAGUCAAGAGAGUCACACAAGGCCAGUCACUCACUGUGAAGCAGUUUCAGAGACUGUUAGGGCUCAUGGCAGCUGCGUCCAACGUGAUACCUUUUGGUCUCCUGCACAUGAGGCCCCUUCAGUGGUGGCUCAAGACCAAGGGGUUUUCCCCGAGGGCAAAUCCUUUCCGAACUAUUCAGGUCACGCGGCAAUGCCUUCGUGCCUUAGACAUAUGGAAGAAAGCUUGGUUCUUGAAUCAGGGCCCGGUGUUGGGAGCUCUUGGUCGCCGUGUAACGCUAGCGACAGAUGCAUCCCUCACCGGUUGGGGUGCGGUCAUGAGUGGCCACCCUGCCCGCGGUCUGUGGAGUGGUCGCCAUCUGACAUGGCACAUCAAUUGUCUAGAAAUGCUAGCAGUAUAUCGAGCUUUAAAAUAUUUCCUCCCAGACCUGAGAGGCUGUCAUGUGUUAGUGCGCACCGACAACACAGCGGUAGUCUCUUAUAUCAAUCACCAGGGGGUCUGUGUUCACGCCCCUUGUACAAGCUGGUGCACCAGAUCCUCCUGUGGUCCCAGGGCAAACUCCUCUCGCUAAGAGCAGUGUAUAUUCCUGGGCGAUUGAAUGUGGGAGCAGACAUGCUGUCGAGACAGGGGCCGAGGCCCGGGGAAUGGAUGCUUCAUCCCGAGGUGGUGAAGCAGAUAUGGCAAAUAUUUGGCAAAGCUGAGGUGGACCUCUUUGCGACACGAGAGACAUCGCAAUGUCCCCUCUGGUUCUCUCUAGUUCACCCAGCUCCACUGGGACUAGAUGCCAUGGCACAGACUUGGCCGAGGCUUCGUCUGUAUGCCUUUCCCCCCAUCGCUCUGCUCCCGGGAGUUCUGGCGAGAGUACGCCGGGACGGGGUCCGUCUGUUGUUAGUAGCCCCGUUCUGGCCGGGCCGAGUAUGGUUCGCUGAUCUGAUUUCUCUCCUCGACGGCUCUCCAUGGCAGAUUCCGAUCAGGACAGAUCUACUCUCUCAGGUGCAGGGCAAAAUAAUUCACCCUCGCCCGGAGUUGUGGAAGCUGUGGGUGUGGCCCCUGAGGGGGCACAUCUGUUAG
Carassius auratus (goldfish) is the source of this 1590-nucleotide long non-coding RNA. Lineage: Eukaryota; Metazoa; Chordata; Actinopteri; Cypriniformes; Cyprinidae. The record is from Ensembl.